GUGAGGAAUAUUGGUCAAUGGACGAGAGUCUGAACCAGCCAAGUAGCGUGCAGGAUGACUGCCCUAUGGGUUGUAAACUGCUUUUAUGCGGGAAUAAAGUCAGGUACGUGUACCUGUUUGUAUGUACCGCAUGAAUAAGGACCGGCUAAUUCCGUGCCAGCAGCCGCGGUAAUACGGAAGGUCCGGGCGUUAUCCGGAUUUAUUGGGUUUAAAGGGAGCGCAGGCGGAAGAUUAAGCGUGACGUGAAAUGUCCCGGCUCAACCGUGGAACUGCGUCGCGAACUGGUUUUCUUGAGUGGGUACGACGUCAGCGGAAUUCGUGGUGUAGCGGUGAAAUGCUUAGAUAUCACGAAGAACCCCGAUUGCGAAGGCAGCUGACGAGUCCUUAACUGACGCUAAAGCUCGAAAGUGCGGGUAUCGAACAGGAUUAGAAACCCUAGUAGUCC
RNAcentral lists this ribosomal RNA (445 nucleotides) under uncultured bacterium. Its description in RNAcentral is "bacterial SSU rRNA". It matches the Rfam family "Bacterial small subunit ribosomal RNA", at positions 354 to 796 of the family's 1533-position model. The record is from RNAcentral.